This is a long non-coding RNA of Mustela erminea (ermine), 365 nucleotides long. RefSeq lists it as uncharacterized. NCBI's taxonomy places the organism in Eukaryota, Metazoa, Chordata, Mammalia, Carnivora, Mustelidae. The transcript is spliced from 3 exons. The record is from RefSeq and is a predicted model, not a curated record.
AGGAUGGAUUUCUUGGUAUGCCACCAUGUCAUCUGGAACAAACCCAAAUUUCUGGCUUCCUCAUGGGAACUGCACUUUGGGAACCUACAAAUCUGCUACACCUGAUAAAGAUGGUACCACUGGUUAGCCGCUGGAAAGGUGAUUUCAUAAGACCCAUCUUCCAUCAACAAGCCACCACAUUUGUGGAUAUUUUCACCAGUUUACUGCAUGGUACACCCACCAGGAACACCUAUGAGGCAUAGAAAGCAAUCUGCAUCUCUGCUGUUUGCCUGGCCAUUCUCGAUGGUGCUCAACUGCUUCCAUGCAGGAUAUUUUGCAAUACUGUAUGUGGCACCUGACAGGAGCCCACACAUGCCCUUUAUAAU